Long non-coding RNA from Bos taurus (domestic cattle), 1599 nucleotides. NCBI's taxonomy places the organism in Eukaryota, Metazoa, Chordata, Mammalia, Artiodactyla, Bovidae. The record is from Ensembl.
AGUCUGUGAUGAUUAGCUAUUUAUCAUUGCAGUUUGGAAUGCUGAUUGUUUUGUUAAUUAAAAGCAGAUGGUAGAAGCUGGAGAAAGAAUGUGUAGCAGCUGAUUAGUGGAGUAAAUGAAUUUGAAGAUAUUUAACUUCCAGAUAAUAGAUGGGUCAAACACAGUUUAUACUUCACUGUGUACUUUUAGAGUAAUUCCAUGCACGAUGUUUGAUAAUAUAUCAAGAAUCAUUUUCUGAGAAGUGUCUGCUGAAGUGGAAAAAGUGGGAGAAUCAAAAAAUAUGCUUCUAAGGGAAAUCUGGAUGAAUAUAUACAAAGAAGGAAGCUGAUAUGAAGGCAACUACAUGAUGGCGAAGAUGGGACAGACGAAACUGCAAGCCAAGUAAUGCCAAAGAACUGCCUACCACCAGCAACUAGAAAGAAGCAAGUAAGGAUUCUACGCAGAGUCUCAGAUGGAGCAUAGCUCUGCUGACACAUGGAUUUUAUAUUUCCAGCCUGUAGAUUUGUAAAAUAAUACAUUUCUGCUUGUUCUAAGCCACCUAGUUUGUGAUACUUUGUUACAGUCACUCAGUGUUAGUCACUCAGCUGUGUUCAACUCUUUGUAACCCCAUGGACUGUAGCCUGCCAGGUUCCUCUGUCCAUGGAUUCUCCAGGCAAGAAUAUUGGAGUGGGUUGCCAUUUCCUUCUUUCGGGGGAUAUUCUCGACUCAUGGAUCUGAUCAGGUCUCCCACCUUGUGGGCAGAAGCCAUACUUUGUUUUAGUAACCCUAGCCAAAUAAUAUAAAAUCCACUCACUACCUGUCAUGAAAAUUUUUCCUUGAGAAAGACAUCUGGAAGAAUGGGUUAAUAAUAGAGAAUGUAAUACUCUGCUUAUUAAUAUGUAGCCCUUCGAUAUAUUUUUAGAUGCUUUUAAAUGUGAAUUUCUGUUAUUAAUACAAAAGCUAUGCAUGUUCACUAAAGAAAAUGUUCAAAAUAGUGACAGGUGGUCUGAAUGGGUCCUUCCUUGCCCUGUAGUGUUUUCUCCAUAGAGCAGCUAGGAUGAACUAAUUGAAAUAUUGAUCUUGCCUCUUCUCUCAUUAAAACCCUUCAAUGACUUUUUCAUCUCACUCAGAGCAAAUCUAUAGAAUUUAAGUGACUUAUAAUCCAUAUAAAUCAUUACAGUAAUUAUUCUCAAUAAACUGGGAGCAUUUGAAAACUGCUGUUGUCUGAGUUCCUUCUUAAAUUCAAACAGAUCUCUGAGGGUGUGGACUGGGCAUGGGUAUUUUGAAAGUCUCUCUUGGUGAUUCUGAAGUAAGAUAAAGAACCACUACCUGUCACAGUUUCUCCUAUCCACUCCUAAAACCCUUAUUUUUUCUCCUGUUAUUUCUUCGACCUCAUGUCCUACUACCUUCAUCCUGGCUGCACUGGCCUCCUUGCUGUACCUUAUAAUCCUCAAGCAUGCUCUCACUUGCUCUUUGUUCUGUCGCUGCACCAUCAGGUAUUCAUUUACAUGACUGGCUUCUUCACUUCAUUCAGGUCUUUGCUCAAAGGAAACUUUACCAGUGAAGCCUUUUCUGACCCCUUUAAAAAAUACUCUCCACAUUCCAUCCCCUACUCCUGCC